AAUGCUCGGAUCAAAAGUGAUCGUGAAAUAGAAAAGCUAGCGAAUCGCCGACUUUGUAUAAUGGAAGAGAAAUAAAGAAGAACGGUAAUCCGAACACUAGUUUCUUCUAAUAUUUUCUUUAAGUUUUCUAUGUCAAAAACAUAGCUUAAUAAGAAUAAGGAGUAAAAGAUAUUGAGAAUGAUUUCAUAUGGUUGAAAUCAUGAGAAAAGAAUAAAUAAGAAAUAAGAAAUUUAGUUUAUAAAUUUCUUAAGGAAGUAUAAGAUUCGUAAGGAUUUUGAGCGAUCCGAAUGAAUCCUAUAAAUGAG
This 305-nucleotide long non-coding RNA is filed under the name Panax ginseng (ginseng). RNAcentral's name for it is "long non-coding RNA (PGIN_LNC009355)". Lineage: Eukaryota; Viridiplantae; Streptophyta; Magnoliopsida; Apiales; Araliaceae. The record is from RNAcentral.